CAAACGCUUGUGUAAAAUAUAAACAAAAUUUUUAGUGAAAUCAUUUAUGGUUAAAUACCGCCUCAAUUUUGUAGCUAAAAUAACUCAAAUUGUUUAAACACUUGAAGAGGUGAAAUGUUUACCGAAAAUUUAAAAUGAUAAAAAAGUUUUCAAGAUAAAGUGCGAUUUAUUCUACAAGUUCAAAAAAGGUUGAAUAACAAACCAAGACAGCCCAGUGAUUGUUGCUUCACCGAAUGCAACCAAGGGUCGUAUUCAAUUAGAAAAAUGAUGGGAGUUCGGAUAAGCAAAUCGUUAAUGAGUUACUUUCAAAUGAGGAAUUUGUGUUCAAAGAAAGGCACAGGAAAGACAAUUGAGCUUCCGGAGGAGCCCACCAAUUGCUGCAUGUCCGGGUGUCAGAACUGCGUUUGGAUUCAGUAUGCAAGUGAG
Long non-coding RNA from Culex quinquefasciatus (southern house mosquito), 426 nucleotides. RefSeq lists it as uncharacterized. The transcript has 2 exons. The record is from RefSeq and is a predicted model, not a curated record. Lineage: Eukaryota; Metazoa; Arthropoda; Insecta; Diptera; Culicidae.